This 162-nucleotide microRNA precursor is filed under the name Trifolium pratense (red clover). Lineage: Eukaryota; Viridiplantae; Streptophyta; Magnoliopsida; Fabales; Fabaceae. The record is from RNAcentral.
AGUCAUGUCUUAUAAGCCAAGGAUGGCUUGCCUGGCUAAGAACCAUUACAAGGGACUUAAUUUGUAUAUAUUCAUUCUAUGAUCAUAUACAUAUGAUUUAAGUAAAGUCCCUUGUUUGGAAUUAUCAGCAGGCGGGUAGUCCUAGGCUUUGUGACUGUCUCU